Molecule: ribosomal RNA, 855 nt
Filed under: Brachybacterium sp.
Lineage: Bacteria; Bacillati; Actinomycetota; Actinomycetes; Micrococcales; Dermabacteraceae
Description: bacterial SSU rRNA
Rfam family: Bacterial small subunit ribosomal RNA
Source: RNAcentral
UAGAGUUUGAUCAUGGCUCAGGACGAACGCUGGCGGCGUGCUUAACACAUGCAAGUCGAACGAUGACGGUGGUGCUUGCACCGCCUGAUUAGUGGCGAACGGGUGAGUAACACGUGAGUAACCUGCCCUCCACUUCGGGAUAACCUCGGGAAAUCGUGGCUAAUACCGGAUAUGAGCACUCAUCGCAUGGUGGGUGUUGGAAAGAUUUAUCGGUGGGGGAUGGACUCGCGGCCUAUCAGUUUGUUGGUGAGGUGAUGGCUCACCAAGACGAUGACGGGUAGCCGGCCUGAGAGGGCGACCGGCCACACUGGGACUGAGACACGGCCCAGACUCCUACGGGAGGCAGCAGUGGGGAAUAUUGCACAAUGGGCGAAAGCCUGAUGCAGCGACGCCGCGUGGGGGAUGACGGCCUUCGGGUUGUAAACCCCUUUCAGUAGGGAAGAAGCGAGAGUGACGGUACCUGCAGAAGAAGCGCCGGCUAACUACGUGCCAGCAGCCGCGGUAAUACGUAGGGCGCAAGCGUUGUCCGGAAUUAUUGGGCGUAAAGAGCUUGUAGGUGGCUUGUCGCGUCUGCCGUGAAAACCCGAGGCUCAACCUCGGGCGUGCGGUGGGUACGGGCAGGCUAGAGUGUGGUAGGGGAGACUGGAACUCCUGGUGUAGCGGUGAAAUGCGCAGAUAUCAGGAAGAACACCGAUGGCGAAGGCAGGUCUCUGGGCCAUUACUGACACUGAGAAGCGAAAGCAUGGGUAGCGAACAGGAUUAGAUACCCUGGUAGUCCAUGCCGUAAACGUUGGGCUCUAGGUGUGGGGGACAUUCCACGUUUCCGCGCCGUAGCUAACGCAUUAAGUGCCGCCU